This 176-nucleotide ribosomal RNA is filed under the name uncultured bacterium. RNAcentral's name for it is "partial 16S ribosomal RNA". It matches the Rfam family "Bacterial small subunit ribosomal RNA", at positions 335 to 526 of the family's 1533-position model. The record is from RNAcentral.
ACUCCUACGGGAGGCAGCAGUGGGGAAUUUUCCGCAAUGGGCGAAAGCCUGACGGAGCAAUACCGCGUGAGGGAUGACGGCCUGUGGGUUGUAAACCCCUUUUCUCAAGGAAGAAGUUCUGACGGUACUUGAGGAAUAAGCAUCGGCUAACUCUGUGCCAGCAGCCGCGGUAAUAC